This 161-nucleotide ribosomal RNA is filed under the name Metarhizium minus. Its description in RNAcentral is "partial large subunit ribosomal RNA". It matches the Rfam family "Eukaryotic large subunit ribosomal RNA", at positions 100 to 261 of the family's 3401-position model. The record is from RNAcentral. Lineage: Eukaryota; Fungi; Ascomycota; Sordariomycetes; Hypocreales; Clavicipitaceae.
GGCAACAGCUCAAAUUUGAAAUCUGGCCCCCUCGGGGCCCGAGUUGUAAUUUGGAGAGGAUGCUUUUGGCGAGGUGCCUUCCGAGUUCCCUGGAACGGGACGCCAUAGAGGGUGAGAGCCCCGUCUGGUUGGACACCGAGCCUCUGUAAAGCUCCUUCGAC